GACGAACGCUGGCGGCGUGCCUAAUACAUGCAAGUCGAACGAACUCUGGUAUUGAUUGGUGCUUGCAUCAUGAUUUACAUUUGAGUGAGUGGCGAACUGGUGAGUAACACGUGGGAAACCUGCCCAGAAGCGGGGGAUAACACCUGGAAACAGAUGCUAAUACCGCAUAACAACUUGGACCGCAUGGUCCGAGCUUGAAAGAUGGCUUCGGCUAUCACUUUUGGAUGGUCCCGCGGCGUAUUAGCUAGAUGGUGGGGUAACGGCUCACCAUGGCAAUGAUACGUAGCCGACCUGAGAGGGUAAUCGGCCACAUUGGGACUGAGACGCGGCCCAAACUCCUACGGGAGGCAGCAGUAGGGAAUCUUCCACAAUGGACGAAAGUCUGAUGGAGCAACGCCGCGUGAGUGAAGAAGGGUUUCGGCUCGUAAAACUCUGUUGUUAAAGAAGAACAUAUCUGAGAGUAACUGUUCAGGUAUUGACGGUAUUUAACCAGAAAGCCACGGCUAACUACGUGCCAGCAGCCGCGGUAAUACGUAGGUGGCAAGCGUUGUCCGGAUUUAUUGGGCGUAAAGCGAGCGCAGGCGGUUUUUUAAGUCUGAUGUGAAAGCCUUCGGCUCAACCGAAGAAGUGCAUCGGAAACUGGGAAACUUGAGUGCAGAAGAGGACAGUGGAACUCCAUGUGUAGCGGUGAAAUGCGUAGAUAUAUGGAAGAACACCAGUGGCGAAGGCGGCUGUCUGGUCUGUAACUGACGCUGAGGCUCGAAAGUAUGGGUAGCAAACAGGAUUAGAUACCCUGGUAGUCCAUACCGUAAACGAUGAAUGCUAAGUGUUGGAGGGUUUCCGCCCUUCAGUGCUGCAGCUAACGCAUUAAGCAUUCCGCCUGGGGAGUACGGCCGCAAGGCUGAAACUCAAAGGAAUUGACGGGGGCCCGCACAAGCGGUGGAGCAUGUGGUUUAAUUCGAAGCUACGCGAAGAACCUUACCAGGUCUUGACAUACUAUGCAAAUCUAAGAGAUUAGACGUUCCCUUCGGGGACAUGGAUACAGGUGGUGCAUGGUUGUCGUCAGCUCGUGUCGUGAGAUGUUGGGUUAAGUCCCGCAACGAGCGCAACCCUUAUUAUCAGUUGCCAGCAUUAAGUUGGGCACUCUGGUGAGACUGCCGGUGACAAACCGGAGGAAGGUGGGGAUGACGUCAAAUCAUCAUGCCCCUUAUGACCUGGGCUACACACGUGCUACAAUGGAUGGUACAACGAGUUGCGAGCUCGCGAGAGUAAGCUAAUCUCUUAAAGCCAUUCUCAGUUCGGAUUGUAGGCUGCAACUCGCCUACAUGAAGUCGGAAUCGCUAGUAAUCGCGGAUCAGCAUGCCGCGGUGAAUACGUUCCCGGGCCUUGUACACACCGCCCGUCACACCAUGAGAGUUUGUAACACCCAAAGUCGGUGGGGUAACCUUUUAGGAACCAGCCGCCUAAGGUGGGACAGAUGAUUAGGGUG
RNAcentral lists this ribosomal RNA (1489 nucleotides) under Lactiplantibacillus plantarum. RNAcentral's name for it is "bacterial SSU rRNA". It matches the Rfam family "Bacterial small subunit ribosomal RNA". Lineage: Bacteria; Bacillati; Bacillota; Bacilli; Lactobacillales; Lactobacillaceae. The record is from RNAcentral.